GAUGAACGCUGGCGGCGUGCCUAAUACAUGCAAGUCGAGCGAACGGACGAGAAGCUUGCUUCUCUGAUGUUAGCGGCGGACGGGUGAGUAACACGUGGAUAACCUACCUAUAAGACUGGGAUAACUUCGGGAAACCGGAGCUAAUACCGGAUAAUAUUUUGAACCGCAUGGUUCAAAAGUGAAAGACGGUCUUGCUGUCACUUAUAGAUGGAUCCGCGCUGCAUUAGCUAGUUGGUAAGGUAACGGCUUACCAAGGCAACGAUGCAUAGCCGACCUGAGAGUGUGAUCGGCCACACUGGAACUGAGACACGGUCCAGACUCCUACGGGAGGCAGCAGUAGGGAAUCUUCCGCAAUGGGCGAAAGCCUGACGGAGCAACGCCGCGUGAGUGAUGAAGGUCUUCGGAUCGUAAAACUCUGUUAUUAGGGAAGAACAUAUGAGUAAGUAACUGUGCACAUCUUGACGGUACCUAAUCAGAAAGCCACGGCUAACUACGUG
This 497-nucleotide ribosomal RNA is filed under the name uncultured bacterium. RNAcentral's name for it is "partial 16S ribosomal RNA". It matches the Rfam family "Bacterial small subunit ribosomal RNA", at positions 28 to 507 of the family's 1533-position model. The record is from RNAcentral.